CCUACGGGCGGCUGCAGUGGGGAAUAUUGGACAAUGGGGGGAACCCUGAUCCAGCCAUGCCGCGUGUGUGAAGAAGGCCCUCGGGUUGUAAAGCACUUUCAGUGAGGAAGAACGCCUGGUGGUUAAUACCCAUCAGGAAAGACAUCACUCACAGAAGAAGCACCGGCUAACUCCGUGCCAGCAGCCGCGGUAAUACGGAGGGUGCGAGCGUUAAUCGGAAUUACUGGGCGUAAAGCGCGCGUAGGUGGCUUGAUAAGCCGGUUGUGAAAGCCCCGGGCUCAACCUGGGAACGGCAUCCGGAACUGUCAAGCUAGAGUGCAGGAGAGGAAGGUAGAAUUCCCGGUGUAGCGGUGAAAUGCGUAGAGAUCGGGAGGAAUACCAGUGGCGAAGGCGGCCUUCUGGACUGACACUGACGCUGAGGUGCGAAAGCGUGGGUAGCAAACAGGAUUAGAUACCCGUGUAGUC
Molecule: ribosomal RNA, 465 nt
Filed under: Vreelandella stevensii
Lineage: Bacteria; Pseudomonadati; Pseudomonadota; Gammaproteobacteria; Oceanospirillales; Halomonadaceae
Description: partial 16S ribosomal RNA
Rfam family: Bacterial small subunit ribosomal RNA
Source: RNAcentral